UACGGAGGGUGCAAGCGUUAUCCGGAUUUACUGGGUUUAAAGGGUGCGUAGGCGGCUUAAUAAGUCAGUGGUGAAAGCCCAGAGCUCAACUCUGGAACUGCCAUUGAUACUGUUAGGCUUGAGUAUGGUUGAAGUAGGCGGAAUGUAGCAUGUAGCGGUGAAAUGCUUAGAUAUGCUACAGAACACCGAUUGCGAAGGCAGCUUACUAAACCAUUACUGACGCUGAGGCACGAAAGCGUGGGGAGCGAACAGG
RNAcentral lists this ribosomal RNA (253 nucleotides) under uncultured bacterium. Its description in RNAcentral is "partial 16S ribosomal RNA". It matches the Rfam family "Bacterial small subunit ribosomal RNA", at positions 524 to 776 of the family's 1533-position model. The record is from RNAcentral.